This 24-nucleotide non-coding RNA is filed under the name Cricetulus griseus (Chinese hamster). Lineage: Eukaryota; Metazoa; Chordata; Mammalia; Rodentia; Cricetidae. The record is from RNAcentral.
UAAGCGAAUUCUGGACAGUGAGGU